This is an RNA transcript of Gossypium arboreum, 721 nucleotides long. RefSeq lists it as uncharacterized. The transcript has 4 exons. The record is from RefSeq and is a predicted model, not a curated record. NCBI's taxonomy places the organism in Eukaryota, Viridiplantae, Streptophyta, Magnoliopsida, Malvales, Malvaceae.
AACGGGUUCGUUUUCCAUUUACAUUUUUCGCCAAAACCCUAGCAUUUGCCUCAACACAUUUUUAUCGCCUCACACUCUCUGUUUUCACUUAGUUUUUGAUUCUUCACUUUCAUUAUUUCAAACUCUCGCAGUGAUGAGACCUGCAAGAGGCCGUGAUGGUGGUGGGUUUAGGGGCAGAGGUAAUGGUGGAAGAGGGAGAGGAAGAGGAGGUGGUGGAAGAGGUGGUGAUAGGGGUGGUAAUGCCAUGAAAUCCCGCGACGGUGGCUGUUGUCUGAGCAAAGAACGCAGGAGAUACUUUGUAUCAUUCAACCUUCUUUGGUUUUUGAACAAAAUCGACAAAAUAUUAUUGCUUACUUUCAGAGGCUAAUCAAAGGUUACUAUGGGAAUGAGGUUAAAAUAGUGAAAUGCACUGUGAAUGACAUACCGGUGGACAUCUCUUUCAAUCAAACGGCUGGUCUAUCUGCACUUUGCUUUCUGGAGAAGGUUUGAGUUUUUGGUGGAUGCAUAGUCCAGGAUUAGCUGAAUUCAUGCAUAGUGACGACUUGUUUAAGCUAACUGCUUAUCUUAAAGUGUGCAUUCUAUCAUUAUUUUGUUCUAUUUGUAUUUUGUUAGAUUUCUGGUGUAGUAUGAUAAGUGCGGUAUUUUGUUUGGCGGGAUGUAUUUAUAUCAUAGAUUAUUAUUCUUUUCAAUAUUUUGAUAAUGAAUUUUAAUUUUUUUUAUA